AACGAACGCUGGCGGCAGGCUUAACACAUGCAAGUCGAGCGCCCCGCAAGGGGAGCGGCAGACGGGUGAGUAGCGCGUGGGGACGUACCUUUUGGUUCGGAACAACUCCGGGAAACUGGAGCUAAUACCGGAUAAGCCCUAACGGGGAAAGAUUUAUCGCCGAAAGUUCGGCGCGCGUCUGAUUAGCUAGUUGGUGAGGUAACGGCACACCAAGGCGACGAUCAGUAGCUGGUCUGAGAGGAUGAUCAGCCACACUGGGACUGAGACACGGCCCAGACUCCGACGGGAGGCAGCAGUGGGGAAUAUUGGACAAUGGGCGCAAGCCUGAUCCAGCCAUGCCGCGUGAGUGAGGAAGGCGUUAGUGUUGUAAAGCUCUUUUGUCCGGGAAGAUAAUGACGGUACCGGAAGAAUAAGCCCCGGCUAACUUCGUG
This 431-nucleotide ribosomal RNA is filed under the name uncultured bacterium. RNAcentral describes it as "partial 16S ribosomal RNA". It matches the Rfam family "Bacterial small subunit ribosomal RNA", at positions 29 to 507 of the family's 1533-position model. The record is from RNAcentral.